Molecule: ribosomal RNA, 3467 nt
Filed under: Lonepinella koalarum
Lineage: Bacteria; Pseudomonadati; Pseudomonadota; Gammaproteobacteria; Pasteurellales; Pasteurellaceae
Description: 23S ribosomal RNA
Rfam family: Bacterial large subunit ribosomal RNA
Source: RNAcentral
GUUGUAUGGUUAAGUGACUAAGCGUACACGGUGGAUGCCUUGGCAAUCAGAGGCGAAGAAGGACGUGCUAAUCUGCGAAAAGCUUGGAUGAGUUGAUAAGAAGCGUUUAAUCCAAGAUAUCCGAAUGGGGAAACCCAGUAGAUGAAGAAUCUACUAUUGUUAACUGAAUUCAUAGGUUAACAAGGCAAACCGGGAGAACUGAAACAUCUAAGUACCCCGAGGAAAAGAAAUCAACCGAGAUUCCGUGAGUAGCGGCGAGCGAAAGUGGAAGAGCCAGUGAGUGAUAGCAGUAAAAUUAAGAGAAUGAGCUGGGAAGCUCAACCGUAGGGGGUGAUAGUCCCGUAUCUGAAAAUUUUAUUGUGGUACUAAGCUAACGAGAAGUAGGGCGGGACACGUGAUAUCCUGUUUGAAGAUGGGGGGACCAUCCUCCAAGGCUAAAUACUCCUGAUUGACCGAUAGUGAACCAGUACUGUGAAGGAAAGGCGAAAAGAACCCCAGUGAGGGGAGUGAAAUAGAACCUGAAACCGUGUACGUACAAGCAGUGGGAGCUCCGUCACUUAAUGAUUUUUAAUCAUUAAGUGACUUCGCAGGAGUCAGAUGACAGUGGUCAGAUAGCAGUGGAUAAUAAAACUGCCAUCUGAAACCUGUCAUCUGACACCUGAAACGGAGUCAGUUAAUGGCGAAAGCCAUUAAGUGACGGAGUGACUGCGUACCUUUUGUAUAAUGGGUCAGCGACUUAUAUUUUGUAGCGAGGUUAACUUAAAUCAGGUAGCCGAAGGGAAACCGAGUCUUAACUGGGCGGCUAGUUGCAAGGUAUAGACCCGAAACCCGGUGAUCUAGCCAUGGGCAGGUUGAAGGUUGGGUAACACUAACUGGAGGACCGAACCGACUAAUGUUGAAAAAUUAGCGGAUGACUUGUGGCUGGGGGUGAAAGGCCAAUCAAACCGGGAGAUAGCUGGUUCUCCCCGAAAUCUAUUUAGGUAGAGCCUUAUGUGAAUACCUUGGGGGGUAGAGCACUGUUUCGGCUAGGGGUCCAUCCCGGAUUACCAACCCGAUGCAAACUGCGAAUACCGAAGAGUAAUGCAUAGGAGACACACGGUGGGUGCUAACGUCCAUCGUGAAGAGGGAAACAACCCAGACCGCCAGCUAAGGUCCCAAAGUCUAUAUUAAGUGGGAAACGAAGUGGGAAGGCUUAGACAGCUAGGAUGUUGGCUUAGAAGCAGCCAUCAUUUAAAGAAAGCGUAAUAGCUCACUAGUCGAGUCGGCCUGCGCGGAAGAUGUAACGGGGCUAAAAUAUAGCACCGAAGCUGCGGCUUUCAGGGGUCAGAUUACAGGAGUCAGAUAACAGUAUGGUAAUGAAAUUUGAAGAUUUGCAAGUGUUUCAAAGAAGUUAUAAGAUUUCUUUAGAAUUGCAUAAGGCAAGUUUAGAUUUUCCAAAGCAUGAGCAAUAUGGUUUAGCAGACCAAAUAAGAAGGGCAAGCAAAAGUAUUUGUGCAAAUAUAGCAGAAGGUUUUGCGAGAAAACGCUCACAGGCUGAUUUUAAUCGUUUUAUCGGAAUGGCAAUAGGCAGUGCUGAUGAAAUGAGAGUAUGGUUAAGAUACUGUUUAGACUUAGGUUAUAUAGCGGAGCAACAAUGGCAAAGAUGGCGUAAUGAAUACGAAGAAAUUGCAAAAAUGUUGCAAGGUUUAGGUAAAAGGGUAGAUAAAACUGCCGUCUGAAACCUGUAAUCUGACCCCUGACAGGGUAGGGGAGCGUUGUGUAAGCGGAAGAAGGUGAGUCGAGAGGCUUGCUGGACGUAUCACAAGUGCGAAUGCUGACAUAAGUAACGAUAAAACGAGUGAAAAACUCGUUCGCCGGAAGACCAAGGGUUCCUGUCCAACGUUAAUCGGGGCAGGGUGAGUCGGCCCCUAAGGCGAGGCUGAAAAGCGUAGUCGAUGGGAAACGGGUUAAUAUUCCCGUACUUGGUAAAGUUGCGAUGUGGGGACGGAGUAGGUUAGGUUAGCGUACUGUUGGAUAUGUACGUUUAAGCGUGUAGGUGGGAAGUUUAGGCAAAUCCGAACUUCCAUUCAACACUAAGGCGUGAUGACGAUUUCCCAAGGGAAAGAAGUAAUCGAUACCACACUUCCAGGAAAAGCCACUAAGCGAAAGACUUUACUAAACCGUACUGAAAACCGACACAGGUGGUCAGGUAGAGAAUACUCAGGCGCUUGAGAGAACUCGGGUGAAGGAACUAGGCAAAAUAGCACCGUAACUUCGGGAGAAGGUGCGCCGGCGUAGAUUGUAGUCUUUUACAGACGAAGGUUGAACCGGUCGAAGUGACCCGCUGGCUGCAACUGUUUAUUAAAAACACAGCACUCUGCAAACACGAAAGUGGACGUAUAGGGUGUGAUGCCUGCCCGGUGCUGGAAGGUUAAUUGAUGGUGUUAUCGCAAGAGAAGCACCUGAUCGAAGCCCCAGUAAACGGCGGCCGUAACUAUAACGGUCCUAAGGUAGCGAAAUUCCUUGUCGGGUAAGUUCCGACCUGCACGAAUGGCAUAAUGAUGGCCAGGCUGUCUCCACCCGAGACUCAGUGAAAUUGAAAUCGCCGUGAAGAUGCGGUGUACCCGCGGCUAGACGGAAAGACCCCGUGAACCUUUACUAUAGCUUGACACUGAACCUUGAAUUUUGAUGUGUAGGAUAGGUGGGAGACUAAGAAGCAGGAACGCCAGUUCUUGUGGAGUCGUCCUUGAAAUACCACCCUUUAACGUUUGAUGUUCUAACGAAGUAUGUGAAACGCGUACUCGGACAGUGUCUGGUGGGUAGUUUGACUGGGGCGGUCUCCUCCCAAAGAGUAACGGAGGAGCACGAAGGUUUGCUAAUGACGGUCGGACAUCGUCAGGUUAGUGCAAUGGUAAAAGCAAGCUUAACUGCGAGACAGACAAGUCGAGCAGGUACGAAAGUAGGUCAUAGUGAUCCGGUGGUUCUGAAUGGAAGGGCCAUCGCUCAACGGAUAAAAGGUACUCCGGGGAUAACAGGCUGAUACCGCCCAAGAGUUCAUAUCGACGGCGGUGUUUGGCACCUCGAUGUCGGCUCAUCACAUCCUGGGGCUGAAGUAGGUCCCAAGGGUAUGGCUGUUCGCCAUUUAAAGUGGUACGCGAGCUGGGUUUAGAACGUCGUGAGACAGUUCGGUCCCUAUCUGCCGUGGGCGUAGGAUGAUUGAGUGGGGCUGCUCCUAGUACGAGAGGACCGGAGUGGACGCAUCACUGGUGUACCAGUUGUUUCGCCAGAAGCAUUGCUGGGUAGCUAAAUGCGGAAGAGAUAAGUGCUGAAAGCAUCUAAGCACGAAACUUGCCAUAAGAUGAGUCAUCCCACACUUAAAGUGUGUAAGGGUUGUUUAAGACGAAGACGUAGAUAGGCUGGGUGUGUAAGCGGUGCGAGCCGUUGAGCUAACCAGUACUAAUUGCCCGAGCGGCUUAACCAUACAACCU